Molecule: ribosomal RNA, 379 nt
Filed under: uncultured cyanobacterium
Lineage: Bacteria; Bacillati; Cyanobacteriota
Description: bacterial SSU rRNA
Rfam family: Bacterial small subunit ribosomal RNA
Source: RNAcentral
CGAAAGCCUGACGGAGCAAGACCGCGUGGGGGAUGAAGGUUUGUGGAUUGUAAACCCCUUUUGAUUGGGAAGAAUAACUGACGGUACCAAUCGAAUAAGCCUCGGCUAACUCCGUGCCAGCAGCCGCGGUAAUACGGAGGAGGCAAGCGUUAUCCGGAAUUAUUGGGCGUAAAGCGUCCGUAGGUGGUUUAGUAAGUCUGCUGUUAAAGCGCGGGGCUUAACCCUGUAUCGGCAGUGGGAACUACUAGACUAGAGUGUGGUAGGGGUAGAGGGAAUUCCCAGUGUAGCGGUGAAAUGCGUAGAUAUUGGGAAGAACACCGGUGGCGAAGGCGCUCUACUGGGCCAUAACUGACACUGAUGGACGAAAGCUAGGGGAGCG